Carassius gibelio (silver crucian carp) is the source of this 578-nucleotide long non-coding RNA. RefSeq lists it as uncharacterized. Lineage: Eukaryota; Metazoa; Chordata; Actinopteri; Cypriniformes; Cyprinidae. The transcript is spliced from 4 exons. The record is from RefSeq and is a predicted model, not a curated record.
UAAGUACUAACAAACCACGAUUAUAUAACACAACUUCAUGCACUGAAUUUUUAGUAACGACUGAAUGCCUUAAAGUGACUUUUACUGUCAGUUUUCUUUCAGAUCAGCCACUGUCACAUUAGAGUCUGAAGACAAUCUUGCCAUACAAGAGCUCUAUCGCCCCCUCGAGGACUAGAGUUUGCUGCUGACAGACGCCCAAGAAGAACACACAUAAUGCAAAACAACAAGAGUCCUUCUAUAACGUGUGCUGGUCGUGUACAGAUGCUUCUGCGGAUUUGAAGGGAGGACCUCGAGGCUGAUACGAGGAUGAUGAGGAUGAUGAGGAUGAGGAUGUGGGGCUCGUUCAGAUGAACAUUUCGAAUGUCCUCACGGAUCUGAAAGAGAAAAAAGAAAAUGGCAUUGAUUUAAAAUGAGUUCACUUCAACACUUUUCAUCUAAAUUGAAAGUAUGUUUUCUCUCAUUUAAGAUCUCUGUUAUGUAUCACGGAUAUAUAAUUGUAUAGGUUUUGUUCAUAUUUUGAAUUAGAUAAAAAAAAAAAUUCUGUUAUCAUUUUUAGUAUUUUAGUUAAAGUGUUAGUA